Molecule: non-coding RNA, 1032 nt
Organism: Linepithema humile (Argentine ant)
Lineage: Eukaryota; Metazoa; Arthropoda; Insecta; Hymenoptera; Formicidae
Source: RefSeq, a predicted model, not a curated record
UAUCGAAAACUUUAUAUUUUUAUACGUAUUAUAAAUUACAUAAUCACUUUGCGUUCUCUCUAACCACUUUACUAUGCGGCAAAAUAAUAUCGCUUUUCGCUAUUGCGAGUUAAAUUGCUUUUAUGGAAACGCACUACUCGUAACCGCGGCGCAGGAAUGAUUAUCGUUACAUUACUAGGAACAUCCUGAACGUCGUAAUCCGCUUUUUUGAUGACCUCCACAUAAUCGCACACGAACAUUUUGGGAUAGAUUGCCGGGCGAGAUAUGACGACGUAUAAGUUACAUUGUCACGAGUUAUCGUGGCUUUGUGUCACGUAAUAAAUGUUGACAGAAAUGGUUAGAUGAAUACACGAUUGUAUGCAUGUAUGUUGAAGUUCGUUAAUUUUGUAACAAAAGCAAACUUAAUGCGGCUUAAUAUACAUUUAAAUGUAAGAUUUGAUAGAACACUCUGUGCUUUUAUCAGUAUUUUUUUAUUCAGAAGAUCCUCACAAUAUUUAAAUUACAGAAAAAUUCCUAGUCUUCUAAUAUAAUCGAGUUGUAUUACAAUGCCAUUUUACGAUGUUAAUAUAAAAUAAGUUUAAUUUGUACUAGCACGAUUUUGGAUACAAUUCCAUUUCAUAAACAUGAUUUGUAACUCUGCUUUUUUUAAGAAAACUUAAUACUGUUAUUUACUGUUACAGUUUGCCCAAUUAAUCUAAUUUGGAAAAUUUAAAAAUUUGAAAUAAAUUAUGUGUUGAAAAAAUUAUAGCAAGUAUAAAUUCAACUUUAUUGUUUAAAAAAACAAAUUUUAUUUAAACUUUUUUUGAGUAUAUAAAGAAACUGAAUAAUAUAAGAAUAAAAUAUCGGAAUGUCUGUAUCUGUAAAUUUCAAUCUGUAGAUAUUACAUCUUAAAAUUUAGUGUAACAGCUAUAUCAAUGACAGUUUCUUGUCGAUACAUCUUGAUAAAAUUAGUAGAGAAUAAUGAGAUAAUCUUGUAAAAAUAGAAAGGUUUGUGUAUUGAAUAUUUGUUUGAAAUACACUGAAUGAAACUAU